UGGGGAAUAUUGGACAAUGGGCGGAAGCCUGAUCCAGCCAUGCCGCGUGUGUGAAGAAGGCCUUUUGGUUGUAAAGCACUUUAAGCGAGGAGGAGGCUACUUGGAUUAAUACUCUAGGAUAGUGGACGUUACUCGCAGAAUAAGCACCGGCUAACUCUGUGCCAGCAGCCGCGGUAAUACAGAGGGUGCGAGCGUUAAUCGGAUUUACUGGGCGUAAAGCGUACGUAGGCGGCUUCUUAAGUCGGAUGUGAAAUCCCUGAGCUUAACUUAGGAAUUGCAUUCGAUACUGGGAAGCUAGAGUAUGGGAGAGGAUGGUAGAAUUCCAGGUGUAGCGGUGAAAUGCGUAGAGAUCUGGAGGAAUACCGAUGGCGAAGGCAGACAUCUGGCCUAAUACUGACGCUGAGGUACGAAAGCAUGGGGAGCAAACAGG
This 430-nucleotide ribosomal RNA is filed under the name bacterium. RNAcentral describes it as "partial 16S ribosomal RNA". It matches the Rfam family "Bacterial small subunit ribosomal RNA", at positions 355 to 776 of the family's 1533-position model. The record is from RNAcentral.